Molecule: unclassified non-coding RNA, 335 nt
Filed under: soil metagenome
Description: partial contains 5.8S ribosomal RNA, internal transcribed spacer 2, and large subunit ribosomal RNA
Rfam family: 5.8S ribosomal RNA (bases 1-120)
Source: RNAcentral
GAUGAAGAACGUAGCGAAAUGCGAUAAGUAAUGUGAAUUGCAGAAUUCCGUGAAUCAUCGAAUCUUUGAACGCACAUUGCGCCCCCUGGUAUUCCGGGGGGCAUGCCUGUCCGAGCGUCAUUACAACCUUCAAGCGCGGCUUGUGUGUUGGGUCUCGUCCCCCGUGGACGGGCCCGAAAGGCAGUGGCGGCGUCCCGACAUGGUGCCCGAGCGUAUGGGAAUCCUCUUCCGCUCGAAUCGGCCCAUGCGGCGCUGGUCGUAACCAAAUUUUUUACCGGUUGACCUCGGAUCAGGUAGGGAUACCCGCUGAACUUAAGCAUAUCAAUAAGCGGAGA